Molecule: ribosomal RNA, 253 nt
Filed under: Mailhella massiliensis
Lineage: Bacteria; Pseudomonadati; Thermodesulfobacteriota; Desulfovibrionia; Desulfovibrionales; Desulfovibrionaceae
Description: partial 16S ribosomal RNA
Rfam family: Bacterial small subunit ribosomal RNA
Source: RNAcentral
UACGGAGGGUGCAAGCGUUAAUCGGAAUUACUGGGCGUAAAGCGCAUGUAGGCUGUAUGGCAAGUUGGAGGUGAAAUCCCACGGCUCAACCGUGGAACUGCCUUCAAAACUACCAAACUAGAGUGCGAGAGAGGAUAGCGGAAUUCCAGGUGUAGGAGUGAAAUCCGUAGAUAUCUGGAAGAACAUCAGUGGCGAAGGCGGCUAUCUGGCUCGUAACUGACGCUGAGAUGCGAAAGCGUGGGUAGCAAACAGG